GCACACCACAGGUGUACGGUUCCUUAACUGUCUAUUUGUACGAGCCAGAGCUCAGUGCGCGUCGACUGCCGCCGAAAUGAAGGGAAGCUCAGCAAAGUUAGUCACUGCCGCAGUUACCUUCACCCACCGGCCUGCUAAAAAGAAAAUAAAGACUGGAGCUGAAACAGCCACAACUUAAAGGCUUUUUAGGCGCAGCAAGAGGACAAACAGGAAUAAAUUGUGGAAAUGCUUUUCAGCGAUGGAAAACGCUGAAGGAGUUGAAAGGGAUAAAAACUGAUGGUUGUCGUUUUUUUGUUAGACAGUUAUGGCAAGGCUAAUUGGACGUCUACACCGGGAAAACACGGAUCUCUCCUGCUGUGUUGACGAUUGUUUCACAGUCUCUCUCCGACCGGACAAUCUCUGCCACAGUAGUUUGCCACAGCUGAUGAUACUACCUCAUCCAGAGCCAGACCUGUCUUCUAACACUGAAGUCCUAGACAAAGAUUGAUUACUAUAUAUUUAUUAUUGUCUAUAUGAAAAAUAAACAAGUUUUACACCACGUUGGUUGAAAUCAUUUUGUGCAGCAUGUACAGGGAUGAGAUAUGUCUGGAUAGUUGUAAUAGCAUGAAUUGAAAAUAAUUCAUAUUUUUUUUAUUGAACAAAAUAUAAAAAA
This is a long non-coding RNA of Etheostoma cragini (Arkansas darter), 652 nucleotides long. RefSeq lists it as uncharacterized. The record is from RefSeq and is a predicted model, not a curated record. The transcript has 3 exons. NCBI's taxonomy places the organism in Eukaryota, Metazoa, Chordata, Actinopteri, Perciformes, Percidae.